GCGGGAAUAGCUCAGUUGGUAGAGCACGACCUUGCCAAGGUCGGGGUCGCGAGUUCGAGUCUCGCGUUUCCCGCUCCA
This 78-nucleotide transfer RNA is filed under the name Enterobacter hormaechei. Its description in RNAcentral is "tRNA-Gly". It matches the Rfam family "tRNA". From Rfam's summary of the family: Transfer RNA (tRNA) molecules are approximately 80 nucleotides in length. Their secondary structure includes four short double-helical elements and three loops (D, anti-codon, and T loops). RNAcentral also lists the same sequence under 1 other name. Lineage: Bacteria; Pseudomonadati; Pseudomonadota; Gammaproteobacteria; Enterobacterales; Enterobacteriaceae. The record is from RNAcentral.